RNAcentral lists this long non-coding RNA (328 nucleotides) under Elaeis guineensis (African oil palm). RNAcentral's name for it is "long non-coding RNA (EGUI_LNC033016)". Lineage: Eukaryota; Viridiplantae; Streptophyta; Magnoliopsida; Arecales; Arecaceae. The record is from RNAcentral.
AUGUAUUUGAUUACAUUUUGUGUGCAUCAUUCUUUUUCUUUCCUCCUAUGGUAUCUACACCAGUGAUUGCGAUCUUGAGUGAGGGAUCCAUAUUUUAUUCUCAUGAAGGAUCCUCCCAACAAGUGGUAUCAGAGCACACAGUUGUCCAGAUUGUGGCACUGUUGAUCAAGAUUGAAAAAGAUAUAGAAGAUAGACUCAAUUAAGGUAGAGAUCAAUCGGUAUGAUGGAAAGAGUAAUUUCUCCCUAUGGUAAAUAAAGGUGAAGGAUGUGCUCAUCCAACAAGGAUUGAUUAAUGUUCUCUUGUGUAAAGAGAAACGAACUACUAUGG